This is a long non-coding RNA of Mytilus californianus (California mussel), 507 nucleotides long. RefSeq lists it as uncharacterized. The record is from RefSeq and is a predicted model, not a curated record. The transcript is spliced from 3 exons. Lineage: Eukaryota; Metazoa; Mollusca; Bivalvia; Mytilida; Mytilidae.
GCAUAUCAUGCAUAUGUAACAGCGUAGAUACGAGGAAAAGAAAUGGGACUGGUGAAUUUGUUAUCAAUUCAAAAGCUGCACUUGGAAUGAUACAUGCAGGAAUUAGUGCCACACAUUUUAACAAUUUUCUUAAUGUAUUGAAUAUACUUUCUGUGAAUUCAUCCACCAUGAAGAAAAAGGAGAAUGAAACCGGAAAGAAAAUAUUUGCAGUUGCAAAAGAAUCCUGUAAUUUAAAUCAGGAGAAGAAACAGCUUUAAACAUGGUUAAUAUAAUGAGUAAUUGGAAGGUUGAAGCCAGUUUUGUUGCAGAAUAGCAAAUGUUUGGUACUGCUUGGAACUAUGAAAGUAAUACAGGAAAAUUUAAAGAAUUAAGACUUUAACUUUAUUAAUAGAAAAGAAAUGCCCAAAUGUCAAGGUCAAAGUGGACCUUGUAGAUUAUAAACACCCUUGUGAAAUCUUUAGAAGCAACAGUCUUCUAUGGUGAGAGGAUGCCAUACUUUGCAAUGCU